Pistacia vera is the source of this 676-nucleotide long non-coding RNA. RefSeq lists it as uncharacterized. Lineage: Eukaryota; Viridiplantae; Streptophyta; Magnoliopsida; Sapindales; Anacardiaceae. The record is from RefSeq and is a predicted model, not a curated record. The transcript is spliced from 3 exons.
GUAAGGUUGGUGAGCAUCGAGCUUCUCAACAUAACCUAUUAAUCUAGAAGAAGCACCUGUCUCGAAGCCACUUGUCUGGAGGUUGCCGUUGAAGCUGCCAAUUAGAGAUAAUCAUAUUCUCUUUGGGAAACCUAAGAAGUUGAUGAGGAAAAACCUAGAACACCUUGAAAGAUUGUAGUUGCAGAGGCUGGAGGAACACACCUGGAAAAUGACAGAUUCUCAAAUAGGAGAGUCACCGGCUCCACUGGAAUGCCGAGUCCACUCUCCUCCAUAUCAAUAUGAUACCUGCCAAACUGUUUCCAACUUCUGGAAUUGAGGAGAUGGCACUUAGAAAGAAGAAAACUGAUGAACCAAAGUAUGCUACUAAGAACAAGAGAACCAGAUACUCGAGAAAUGGUGUCACAUUUCCUGCCAAUGAUAGCCCGGCUAGAAAGUAAACACACAGAGUGUAUACCAAUGCCUGCAAGAAUUACUGAAGAUUUCAGUUCUGUGACUUCCAUGAUUAUUUCUAACGAGGAAAAGAUAUUGAGAACUUACUUCUAUGAAGGUCUGAGGGAAAUUGACUAUGCAAUGAGCUACUACGUAGGAAGAAGUUCUGAAGAAUCUCUUUGCCCUAUGCUUGUAAAAUAUAGGUCUUUGUAGCAUGUACAAAGGAAACUGCACCAGAUUUAUGAGC